Molecule: ribosomal RNA, 466 nt
Filed under: uncultured bacterium
Lineage: Bacteria
Description: bacterial SSU rRNA
Rfam family: Bacterial small subunit ribosomal RNA
Source: RNAcentral
CCUACGGGGGGCUGCAGUGGGGAAUAUUGGACAAUGGGCGAAAGCCUGAUCCAGCCAUGCCGCGUGUGUGAAGAAGGCCUUUUGGUUGUAAAGCACUUUAAGCGGGGAGGAGGGCACCACGGUUAAUACCCGUGAAUGUCGGACGUUACCCGCAGAAUAAGCACCGGCUAACUCUGUGCCAGCAGCCGCGGUAAUACAGAGGGUGCGAGCGUUAAUCGGAAUUACUGGGCGUAAAGCGCGCGUAGGCGGCUUGUUAAGUCAAAUGUGAAAUCCCCGAGCUUAACUUGGGCAUUGCAUUCGAUACUGGCAAGCUAGAGUAUGGGAGAGGAAGGUAGAAUUCCAGGUGUAGCGGUGAAAUGCGUAGAGAUCUGGAGGAAUACCGAUGGCGAAGGCAGCCUUCUGGCCUAAUACUGACGCUGAGGUGCGAAAGCAUGGGGAGCAAACAGGAUUAGAUACCCCAGUAGUC